Molecule: ribosomal RNA, 434 nt
Filed under: uncultured bacterium
Lineage: Bacteria
Description: partial 16S ribosomal RNA
Rfam family: Bacterial small subunit ribosomal RNA
Source: RNAcentral
AGCGAACGCUGGCGGCAGGCCUAACACAUGCAAGUCGAACGAACCUUUCGUGGUUAGUGGCGGACGAGUGAGUAACACGCGGGAACGUGCCUAUAGGUUCGGAAUAACUUAGCUAAACUUUCUCUAAUACCGAAUGUGCCCUUCAGGGGAACGAUUUAUCGCCUUUAGAGCGGCCCGCGUCUGAUUAGCUAGUUGGUUGAGGUUAUGGCUCACCGACGCGACGAUCAGUAGCUGGUCUGAGAGCAGGAUUAGCCACAUUGGGACUGAGACACCGCGUCAAGUCCUACGUGAGACAGCAGUAGAGAAUCUUACGCAAUGGGCGAAAGUCUGACGCAGCCAUGCCGCGCGAAUGAUGAAGGUCUUAGGAUUGUAAAAUUCUUUCACCGGGGACGAUAAUGACGGUACCUGGUGAAGAAGCCCCGGCUAGCUUCGUG